RNAcentral lists this ribosomal RNA (498 nucleotides) under uncultured bacterium. RNAcentral describes it as "partial 16S ribosomal RNA". It matches the Rfam family "Bacterial small subunit ribosomal RNA", at positions 28 to 507 of the family's 1533-position model. The record is from RNAcentral.
GACGAACGCUGGCGGCGUGCCUAAUACAUGCAAGUCGAACGAGAGCAACCGGUGCUUGCACUGGUCAAUCUAGUGGCGAACGGGUGAGUAACACGUGGGUAACCUGCCCAUCAGAGGGGGGUAACAUCCGGAAACGGAUGCUAAAACCGCAUAGGUCUUCGAACCGCAUGGUUUGAAGAGGAAAAGAGGCGCAAGCUUCUGCUGAUGGAUGGACCCGCGAUGCAUUAGCUAGUUGGUGAGGUAACGGCUCACCAAGGCCGUGAUGCAUAGCCGACCUGAGAGGGUGAUCGGCCACAUUGGGACUGAGACACGGCCCAAACUCCUACGGGAGGCAGCAGUAGGGAAUCUUCCGCAAUGGACGCAAGUCUGACGGAGCAACGCCGCGUGAGUGAAGAAGGUUUUCGGAUCGUAAAACUCUGUUGUUAGAGAAGAACAAGUGCUAGAGUAACUGUUAGCGCCUUGACGGUAUCUAACCAGAAAGCCACGGCUAACUACGUG